This 850-nucleotide ribosomal RNA is filed under the name uncultured bacterium. Its description in RNAcentral is "bacterial SSU rRNA". It matches the Rfam family "Bacterial small subunit ribosomal RNA", at positions 55 to 905 of the family's 1533-position model. The record is from RNAcentral.
CUGCAGUCGAGGGGCAGCACAGGUAGCAAUACUGGGUGGCGACCGGCAAACGGGUGCGGAACACGUACGUAACCUUCCUUUAAGUGGGAGAUAGCCCGAAGAAAUUCGGAUUAAUACCCCAUAAGAUUGUGGAGUGGCAUCACUCAGCAAUUAAAGAAAUUCGCUUAAAGAUGGGCGUGCGGCUGAUUAGGUAGUUGGUGAGGUAACGGCUCACCAAGCCAACGAUCAGUAACUGGCGUGAGAGCGCGACCAGUCACACGGGCACUGAGACACGGGCCCGACUCCUACGGGAGGCAGCAGUAAGGAAUAUUGGUCAAUGGACGCAAGUCUGAACCAGCCAUGCCGCGUGAAGGAUGAAGGUCCUCUGGAUUGUAAACUUCUUUUAUAUGGGAAGAAACCAUCUUUUUCUAAGGGUGUUGACGGUACCAUAGGAAUAAGCACCGGCUAACUCCGUGCCAGCAGCCGCGGUAAUACGGAGGGUGCAAGCGUUAUCCGGAUUCACUGGGUUUAAAGGGUGCGUAGGCGGAUUAGUAAGUCCGUGGUGAAAUCUCCGAGCUUAACUCGGAAACUGCCGUGGAUACUAUUAAUCUUGAAUACUGUGGAGGUUAGCGGAAUAUGUCAUGUAGCGGUGAAAUGCAUAGAUAUGACAUAGAACACCAAUUGCGAAGGCAGCUGGCUACACAGAGAUUGACGCUGAGGCACGAAAGCGUGGGGAUCAAACAGGAUUAGAUACCCUGGUAGUCCACGCCCUAAACGAUGAUUACUCGACAUUUGCGAUAUACAGUAAGUGUCUGAGCGAAAGCAUUAAGUAAUCCACCUGGGAAGUACGACCGCAAGGUUGAAACUCAAA